UACGUAGGGGGCGAGCGUUGUCCGGAAUUACUGGGCGUAAAGGGUGCGUAGGCGGCUGAUUAAGUCAGAUGUGAAAUACCAGGGCUCAACCCUGGGGGUGCAUUUGAAACUGGCCAGCUUGAGUGCAGGAGAGGGAAGUGGAAUUCCUAGUGUAGCGGUGAAAUGCGUAGAGAUUAGGAGGAACACCAGUGGCGAAGGCGACUUCCUGGACUGUAACUGACGCUGAGGCACGAAAGCGUGGGGAGCAAACAGG
Molecule: ribosomal RNA, 253 nt
Filed under: uncultured bacterium
Lineage: Bacteria
Description: partial 16S ribosomal RNA
Rfam family: Bacterial small subunit ribosomal RNA
Source: RNAcentral